UUGCAAAUCGACGUUCCUUCCAUCUUGCUUUCGUGUACAAAGUGCAGUUUCGUCUACACUGUUGUACGAAAUAAGUGGCAAUAACUAGUGCAGUUUGACCGUCCAUACUUUAUCAUUUGCAACACAAAGAUUGCUAUUCAAGAAAGAUGUUUCUGUGGGACUGGUUUGCUGGAAUAUUAAAUUAUCUAGGUUUAUAUAAAAAGUCGGGUAAGCUUGUGUUCCUGGGACUUGAUAAUGCAGGAAAGACAACAUUACUACACAUGCUAAAAGAUGACAGAAUGGCCCAGCACGUUCCCACAUUACACCCAAGUAAGCAUGGCAGUGUCUUCAUG
Mizuhopecten yessoensis (Yesso scallop) is the source of this 332-nucleotide long non-coding RNA. RefSeq lists it as uncharacterized. The record is from RefSeq and is a predicted model, not a curated record. Lineage: Eukaryota; Metazoa; Mollusca; Bivalvia; Pectinida; Pectinidae. The transcript has 3 exons.